GGGGCAGUCUUCCCAGCUGUGUUUUACUCGGUAGUAGUGGUUGUGCAAACUACAACAAUGAGAAUAAAGGUGUCACUUCAAAGAAAAUGGCAAAGACAAGCACCUCUCUGUUAGAGAUGUCUUGCACUGCUGGAGCACAUGAGCGUAAUGGUGAACAAGACGGAAAGACUUUUCCUGUGUCCCAAGAUGAGCUCUGCUUUCCAUCCUCAAGCUUGUCCAGAUGAGAGAGAGCCAUAUUGCGUUCGGUUGCAUCAUACAAUGCAGGCUGUGGGCUCCCCAGCACAAUGAUUACUUUCCCACUGUCCAGACACCGCUGAGAUCA
Trachemys scripta elegans is the source of this 322-nucleotide long non-coding RNA. RefSeq lists it as uncharacterized. The transcript has 3 exons. The record is from RefSeq and is a predicted model, not a curated record. Lineage: Eukaryota; Metazoa; Chordata; Testudines; Emydidae.